This 497-nucleotide ribosomal RNA is filed under the name uncultured bacterium. RNAcentral describes it as "partial 16S ribosomal RNA". It matches the Rfam family "Bacterial small subunit ribosomal RNA", at positions 28 to 507 of the family's 1533-position model. The record is from RNAcentral.
GAUGAACGCUGGCGGCGUGCCUAAUACAUGCAAGUCGAACGAACAGAUAAGGAGCUUGCUCCUUUGACGUUAGCGGCGGACGGGUGAGUAAAACGUGGAUAACCUACCUAUAAGACUGGGAUAACUUCGGGAAACCGGAGCUAAUACCGGAUAAACUAUUGAACCGCAUGGUUCAAUAGUGAAAGGCGGCUUUGCUGUCACUUAUAGAAGGAUCCGCGCCGUAUUAGCUAGUUGGUAAGGUAACGGCUUACCAAGGCAACGAUACGUAGCCGACCGGAGAGGGUGAUCGCCCACACUGGAACUGAGACACGGUCCAGACUCCUCCGGGAGGCGGCGUUAGGGAAUCUUCCGCAAUGGGCGAAAGCCUGCCGGAGCACCGCCGCGUGAUUGAGGAAGGUCUUCGGAUCGUAAACCUCUGUUAUCAGGGAAGAACAAAUGUGUAAGUAACUGUGCACAUCUUGACGGUACCUGAUCAGAAAGCCACGGCUAACUACGUG